This 456-nucleotide ribosomal RNA is filed under the name uncultured soil bacterium. Its description in RNAcentral is "bacterial SSU rRNA". It matches the Rfam family "Bacterial small subunit ribosomal RNA", at positions 923 to 1379 of the family's 1533-position model. The record is from RNAcentral.
GCACAAGCGGUGGAGCAUGUGGUUUAAUUCGACGCAACGCGAAGAGCCUUACCUGGGCUUGACAUGACCGUCAUACCCGUGGAAACACGGGGUCAGUUCGGCUGGACGGCCACAGGUGGUGCAUGGCUGUCGUCAGCUCGUGUCGUGAGAUGUUGGGUUAAGUCCCGCAACGAGCGCAACCCCCGUCGUAUGUUGCCAGCAUUUAGUUGGGGACUCAUGCGAGACUGCCGGUGACAAACCGGAGGAAGGUGGGGAUGACGUCAAGUCAUCAUGCCCCUUAUGUCCAGGGCUACACACGUGCUACAUUGGCGCGUACAGAGGGCUGCGAUACCGCGAGGUGGAGCGAAUCCCUUAAAGCGCGUCUCGGUUCGGAUUGCAGGCUGAAACUCGCCUGCAUGAAGGCGGAGUUGCUAGUAAUCGCGGAUCAGCAUUGCCGCGGUGAAUACGUUCCCGGGC